Molecule: ribosomal RNA, 930 nt
Filed under: uncultured bacterium
Lineage: Bacteria
Description: bacterial SSU rRNA
Rfam family: Bacterial small subunit ribosomal RNA
Source: RNAcentral
ACGCUAGCGAUAGGCUUAACACAUGCAAGUCGAGGGGCAGCAUGGUCUUAGCUUGCUAAGACUGAUGGCGACCGGCGCACGGGUGCGUAACGCGUAUGCAACUUGCCUCACAGAGGGGGAUAACCCGUCGAAAGACGGACUAAUACCGCGUACACUCUAUGUUGGGCAUCCAAUGUAGAGGAAAUGAACUUCGCUGUGAGAUAGGCAUGCGUCCCAUUAGCUAGUUGGUGAGGUAACGGCUCACCAAGGCGACGAUGGGUAGGGGAACUGAGAGGUUGAACCCCCACACUGGUACUGAGACACGGACCAGACUCCUACGGGAGGCAGCAGUGAGGAAUAUUGGUCAAUGGGCGAGAGCCUGAACCAGCCAAGUCGCGUGAAGGAUGACUGUCUUAUGGAUUGUAAACUUCUUUUAUACGGGAAUAACAAGAGUCACGUGUGACUCCCUGCAUGUACCGUAUGAAUAAGCAUCGGCUAACUCCGUGCCAGCAGCCGCGGUAAUACGGAGGAUGCGAGCGUUAUCCGGAUUUAUUGGGUUUAAAGGGUGCGUAGGCGGCCUGUUAAGUCAGCGGUGAAAUCUAGGAGCUUAACUCCUAAAUUGCCAUUGAUACUGGCGGGCUUGAGUGUAGAUGAGGUAGGCGGAAUGCGUGGUGUAGCGGUGGAAUGCAUAGAUAUCACGCAGAACUCCGAUUGCGAAGGCAGCUUACUAAGGUACAACUGACGCUGAAGCACGAAAGCGUGGGUAUCAAACAGGAUUAGAUACCCUGGUAGUCCACGCAGUAAACGAUGAUAACUGGGCGUAUGCGAUAUACAGUAUGCUCCUAAGCGAAAGCGUUAAGUUAUCCACCUGGGGAGUACGCCGGCAACGGUGAAACUCAAAGGAAUUGACGGGGGCCCGCACAAGCGGAGGAACAUGUGGUUUAAUUCGAU